RNAcentral lists this ribosomal RNA (429 nucleotides) under uncultured archaeon. Its description in RNAcentral is "bacterial SSU rRNA". It matches the Rfam family "Archaeal small subunit ribosomal RNA", at positions 474 to 903 of the family's 1478-position model. The record is from RNAcentral.
UACCAGCUCUCCGAGUGGUGUGGAUGUUUAUUGGGCCUAAAGCAUCCGUAGCUGGCUGGGCAAGUCCCCUGUUAAAUCCACCGAUUUAAUCGUUGGUGUGCGGGGGAUACUGUUCGGCUAGGGGACGGGAGAGGCCGACGGUAUUUUCGGGGUAGGGGUGAAAUCCUAUAAUCCCGGGAAGACCACCAGUGGCGGAGGCUGUCGGCUAGAACGCGCCCGACGGUGAGGGAUGAAAGCUGGGGGAGCGAACCGGAUUAGAUACCCGGGUAGUCCCAGCUGUAAACGAUGCAGGCUAGGUGUUUGGGCGGCCACGUGCCGCUCUAGUGCCGCAGAGAAGUCGUUAAGCCUGCCGCCUGGGGAGUACGGCCGCAAGGCUGAAACUUAAAGGAAUUGGCGGGGGAGCACCACAAGGGGUGAAGCUUGCGGUUU